AUCGCUUCUCGACCUUUUGGCUAAGAUCAAGUGUAGUGUGAAUUAGUCAGUUCAUACAACUUUGUGUAUAUGUGUCUGUAUAUAUAUAUGUAUAUAUAGAUAUACAUAUCUAUAUAUACACAUAAAUAUAUAUAAUACAUAUACACACA
Molecule: small nuclear RNA, 149 nt
Filed under: Mus musculus (house mouse)
Lineage: Eukaryota; Metazoa; Chordata; Mammalia; Rodentia; Muridae
Description: U2 spliceosomal RNA
Rfam family: U2 spliceosomal RNA
About the family: U2 is a small nuclear RNA (snRNA) component of the spliceosome (involved in pre-mRNA splicing).
Source: Rfam by way of RNAcentral